RNAcentral lists this ribosomal RNA (413 nucleotides) under uncultured soil bacterium. RNAcentral's name for it is "bacterial SSU rRNA". It matches the Rfam family "Bacterial small subunit ribosomal RNA", at positions 258 to 688 of the family's 1533-position model. The record is from RNAcentral.
UAAUGGCCCACCAAGGCAAAGAUCGGUAGCCGGCCUGAGAGGGCGCACGGCCACACUGGAACUGAAACACGGUCCAGACUCCUACGGGAGGCAGCAGUGGGGAAUUUUGCGCAAUGGGGGAAACCCUGACGCAGCAACGCCGCGUGGAGGAUGAAGUCCCUUGGGACGUAAACUCCUUUCGACCCGGACGAUAAUGACGGUACGGGUGGAAGAAGCCCCGGCUAACUUCGUGCCAGCAGCCGCGGUAAUACGAGGGGGGCAAGCGUUGUUCGGAAUUAUUGGGCGUAAAGGGCGCGUAGGCGGUGCGGUAAGUCACCUGUGAAACCUCUAGGCUUAACUGAGGGACUGGCUCGGAUACUGUUUUUCUUGAGGCAAUCAGAGGGUGAUGGAAUUCCCGGUGUAGCGGUGAAAUG